This is a long non-coding RNA of Pyrus x bretschneideri (Chinese white pear), 2983 nucleotides long. RefSeq lists it as uncharacterized. The transcript is spliced from 4 exons. Lineage: Eukaryota; Viridiplantae; Streptophyta; Magnoliopsida; Rosales; Rosaceae. The record is from RefSeq and is a predicted model, not a curated record.
CCUGGAGAAAGAUAAAACGACAAAUUCACCAUCCUGCUAAGUUCAUAAACGUAUAAACAUGAUGGAGCUCCAGCUUUAGCCCCACACUUCAAAAUUUGCAAUACACACAAUGGUCACCAAAUCUCUGAACACUAAAACAACACAAAAUAUAUUUCAUAGAACUUCACUAGUUUUGAAUCAUUUCAAGGAGAGACAAAAGCUCAAACCUCAACAAAUCUAGCCCAAAAUCAAGCAAACCAAAAUUUUAAAAUUUCAACUAUGGCCUCAAUAGACUUGUUAGUUAACGAGGCCAAAACUAUAAAGUGAUAAACUAGUCCAAAACUAUAAAGUGACAUUAUCUAUAAAAACUUCAAACUGAUUUUAGAUCCGUAAAAAUUAAUUUCUGCAUUUCUGAACGAUCAGUUUCACAAUUUAUGCACUUCUGCAAGAUUAUUUUCAAAUUUUCUUUGCACUUCUGUAAGGUCAGUUUCAAAAUUUCUACCAAAUUAAUUUUAAAAUUCCAGCACUAUGAAAAGAUCAGUUUCAAAAUUUUUAGUACUAGUAGAGAUAAUGAUGUAGGAGGAGGAAGAAUAGAGACAAGAGAAAGAAAAAUACAAAGAAGAAUGUGCAGAGAGAGAAAGACAUGGGUAGAAAGGAGAAGAAAGAGAUAGAAAUUGACCAAGGAGAAAAAAAAAGGACAUAAAACUAAAACGUAAAAAUAAGAAUAUAGAGACUUAGAGUAAAAUUAUAAACAGAAAAGCAAUUAAAAAAUAAUCAUAACAUUGCAUAUGACGUGAAUAUGUUUAAUCUCUCUCUCAAAUAAAUAAAAAAGUUGCUCUCUCUCAAAAUAUAAUCUUAUCUAAAUUACAUGAUAACAAAAUCUCUCCCCCUAAAGAAAGGAAAAAAAUAAUGUAAUUUUUUUAUCACAAAAUAAAAUCAUGAUAAUAAUGUAACUUUGAAUAAACGAAAUUUUUAGGUUUUCUGUUUUUUUUCUUCACCCACCCACAUUAACCUAACAUAUCUCUAAAUUUAAAAAAAAAAAAAAUAUAUAUAUAUAUAUAUAUAGAUAAACUUGUUCACGUUUCUCCGUCUUCCCUAUACUUUCCAACUAAAAAAUCUUGUAUAUUUACGCUCACAUUGUGUUUCAUCUACUGUAUAUAUAUUAACCAAGAAAAAACAAAUUCUCCAGCUCGUCGAGAGCUCUCUCUCCAACUCGUCGACCUCUCUCCCUCCAACUUGUCGAGCUCUCUCCCAUUGCUUUUCCGUCGAUUUUGAUAUGAGCUAGAGGUUAGAAGCUACGAUUUCAGAGAUAUUCUACUUUCAAUACAAUUUCGACUCGUUUCCCACUAGUCUAGUACGAAUUCGAUCUGCAGAGGACUCUGUUAGGGUUUUGUUCUGUUGAGAUUCGAGAGAUUUGAGGCUGCGAUUUCGAAUAUUGGAGCUUCGAGUUCAGAGGUUUGAGACCGCGAUUUCUGGUUGUUAAUACUUGCCUUAACGAAUUUAAUUUGGUUAGAUUUACUGGGAUGGAGUUUGGGUUAAAGUUGCAGCCUACGGUGUCUUAAAACAUUUUUAGUUUUGGACAAAAUUCUGUGAACCCCGACUGAUGAUAAAACAGUAGUCCUACAGGAACAGAGGAGGAGUAGUUGCUUUACAUGUUCAUCCAAAUGAUGUAGUUCUUUGAUCACCUUGUAGAAAUUUAGUACUUAUAAUCUCAUUUCUCCUUGUAGGUUUAUAUAUCCGGAUAAAACCAAGUUUUUAGGUAAUUAAUGUUGAAUUCAUAUAUCCGAAUAAAAUUAAGGCCUGGAUUUAACUGAAAAGGUACACAUCAUGCCUUUCUUUUGGAUGCUCGACUUUUGUGGUUUCCAUGUUUUUGUGAUUUCUAGAAUAUUAACCCUUCAAUGUAUAAUCCUAUUCAUUUUUGUUCUCAUUUAUCAACAAAUUGCUGAGGAGGCAAUGAUCCUAUUGAUUCCACGUUAUCCUUCGAUGUCAGUCCAAAGUUACAAGUAAACCGAGAUUGAAAACUAAUAUUGUAUUACUGAGAAGAGCAUAUUGGAGAAGCUUUUCUCCAUUGCUGGCAUUUGACUUUAUCUUGUAGAAACGACUUACAAUUGAUUUGAUUAGCUUUAUGAUAUUUCCGUUUUUUAUUGAUGAUAUUUUUAGAUUUUAGUUAACAGAAAAGCAACUGUAAGUGGUAGAAUGGAAGAUAUUAGUCCUUGAUUUGAAGUUGUGAUAAGUAGAUUUUUGUUACAGUCGCUAGUUGUUACCAAUCGAGUUUUAGUAGUUACUAAUUUUUUUUUUUAUCAUAUACUAGCAUAUGGCCACACACUAAGUGUGUAUGAAAACUUUUUAUUUUUGUUUUUAAAGUAGAAUGAGAGAGGAAGAGAGAAUGUGAGAGUAGGGAGAGAGACUUAAUUUUUAUUUUUUUAAUUAGAGAUUUGGGUAAGGUUUUGAAAUAAAAAAAAAAAAAACAAAAUUUUGAUUGUUUGAAGUUACAAUUCUGUCCAUAUUUCUUAUUCAUGUUCAGUUUUAAGUAGAGGGUUAAGCUGUGAAUUUCAUAAAAGUUUGUUUGACAUGAGUGUUCUAGUAAUAUGUAGUUUAGAUAUAUAUAAAAUAAAAUAAAAAGCCAGAAAGGCAAACGCAAGAUAAUAGAUCAAACAAGUUUUCGGUUUGCAAACUGAAAUGGUCAUCAAACAGCCUCUUAGUUUUAGAUAUUAGUAAAGUGCAAACAAAUAUGUACGUACCCAAACUCCUAAUUAAUCAGAAAUGCGAAUCAUCUGAAUCGGACGGUUGCUCUUGCUCCUCAUCCUCCUCAGUAUCAAAAGGAACAUUGGGAUCAAUCUGCCAGCGUUUUGGACGAUCAUCUGCUGGCUCCAAAGAUGAGGAAAGUCAUUGUUGUUGCUGAUCAUAUUUAUCAUUGACAAUAUCUCAGGAUCCACAUGGACGAGGCCUUAUCCCAAGACUGCUCGUUGGUCUCAGAGACAAGUGAAGCUGCUCUUCAUCCUCC